GGCUGCGGGGGGGCGGCCCAGCUCCCCGCCUCCCUCCCCCCCGCCGCUGCAGUGGAGGAGCCGGGCGGCCGCACGUGGCCUGUGUGCGGAGCAGGCUUGAGCCUGCCCGGACCGUGAGACUGGCGGGGACUGAGGUCGGGGGGGUCCUGAGCCCCGGCCAGCCACGCCUGGUACAGAGAGCAGCUGGGCUCUCCACUCCCUGGGACUGGGGGGCCACCCGCCUGGGCUCGGCCAGCUGAUCCCAGGACUCCAGGAGCUGGAGAUGUCCCAGGGGCCCCCAAUAUCCCGGGCAAGUCACUGGAGCUGGUAACGCCGAAAGAGGAAAUUCAGCUUUAAACGUGAUGCAUGCAGUGGUCUCAGCCUAUCUUUCCAAGUGGCCUUCCCUGUUCCAUGCACCAGGCGAUCCCCCGCUUGGAGCAAUGCCGAGCUGCUGGACCUCAUCGGCAUUUGGGGAGAGGAGGCUGUCCAGUCCCCACUGUGCUCCAGCCAUAGGAAUUAUGAUACCUCUGGACAGAUUUGACGAUUCAUGACAGAAAGGGGCCAUGACCGGGACACACUGCAGUGCAGGGUCAAAGUGAAGCAGCUGCGGAACACCUACCACAAGGCGCGGGAGGUAAAUUGCCGCUCCGGUGCUGCGCCCACGAGUUGCCGGUUUUACAAAGAGCUGGACGCAAUACUCGGUGGUGACCCUACUUCCACUGCAAAGGCCCCUGUGGAUACUUCGUUGGCUCGUGUGCCAGUCGAGAGUGGACCGAGCCAGGAGAAGGCAAUCUUGGACGAAGAGGGGGAGGGGAACCCAGAGUCAGAGGAUGACUGAGAGGCCAGAGACGCAUGCGGUCAGGAGCUCUUUUCUACCCCGGAGGAGCCUACCCAGUCACAGCAGUCGGAUCUUGGCGAAGUGCAAACAGGAGAGCAGGCCCCUGAGAUGACCUUGGGAGCCCAGCCUCCCUCUUUGUUAUCGGCAGCAGAACGGUUGUGAAGAAUUAGAAAGUGGCCACGAAGAACUAAGGAGGACUUUCUGCGUGAGGUUAUGAUGCACUCCGCCGCCGAGAAACAGGAAUCAAAGGAGUGGCGGGACAGCAAAAAGAGGGAACAAAAGGAGAACGCGGCACAUCAGAAAGAAGCCAUGGAGUGGCUCUUAACAGUUAUGGAGCGCCAAGCGGACACACUCCAGGCAAUACUAGCUCUUCAAACCGAGCAGCUCCACGCCUGUCUCCCCUGCAGCCGCUGUUGUAAAAUUCUUUCCCAUGCGCCACAC
Molecule: long non-coding RNA, 1258 nt
Organism: Chrysemys picta bellii (western painted turtle)
Lineage: Eukaryota; Metazoa; Chordata; Testudines; Emydidae
Source: RefSeq, a predicted model, not a curated record